Molecule: long non-coding RNA, 3844 nt
Organism: Hypanus sabinus (Atlantic stingray)
Lineage: Eukaryota; Metazoa; Chordata; Chondrichthyes; Myliobatiformes; Dasyatidae
Exons: 3
Source: RefSeq, a predicted model, not a curated record
ACAGCACUCCCUGUGCACUGCCCCUCCCUCAGCUCUCCCUCCUCACCGAGCCCCUUACAGCUCUCCCUCCUCACCGCUCGUCCCACAGUGUUCCCUCCUCACGUCCCCUCCCACAGCACUCCCUCCACACUACCCCUCCCACCCUCCCAACAGCGUUCCCUCCUCACACCCCUCACAAACCCUCCCACGGCUCUCUUUCCUCACUCCCCCGCCACCCUCGUGUCUGGACCCUGCCGUCGGUAGGAUUAAACGAAGGCUUACAGAAGCAUAUUUGCAAAACCAGGGGUAUUGAGAGCAUCCUGAGCAACUGCAUCACUGCCUGAUUCGGAAAUUGCACCAUCUCGGAUCGCAAGACCCUGCAGCGGAUAGGGUCAGCUGAGAAGAUCAUCUUCCUGCCAUCACGGACAUUUACACUACACGCUGCAUCCGGAAAGCAAACAGCAUUAUGAAGGAUCCCACGCACCCCUCAUACAAUCUCUUCUCCCUUCUGCCGUCUGGGAAAAGGCUCCGAAGCAUUCGGGCUCUCACGACCAGACUAUGUGCCCAACAUUGAACCCAGCACUGAAGCCUGCAGCGUACCACCGGUCACCGCCCCCAGCCUGAAAACAAAUCCUCCACUCUCAGCCGGAUGAAAGGUCUUGGCCUGAAGUGACGACUGUUCAUUGCCCUCCCUGUACAGUAUGCUGUCAGCACUUUGUGAUUGACGUUCCUCCGCUCCCACCAGGCUAAUCGGGUAUGCAAUUUGCCAUCUCGCCUUGGAGCCCUCAGAACCUGGCUCCCACACAAGACCUUGUCAAACACUUUGCUGAUGACCAUGUAAACAACAUCCACCGCCUCCAAGUACAAAGGAAUUUUUAUUAUCAAAGUACAUUUCUGUCACAAUAUACAACCUCGAGAUUUGUUUCCUUGCGGGCAUGCUCAGCAAAUCCACAGAAUAAUAACCAUAACGGAAUCAAUGAAAGACUGCCCAACUCCGGCGUUCGACCGGAGUGCAGAAGACAACAAGCUACAAACACAAAAAGGAAGAACUAAUAUUAAUAUAUAAGUAAGUAUCGAGAAAGUGAGAUGAAGAGUUCCUGAAAGUGAGUCCAUUGGUUGUGGGAGCAUUUCAAUGAUGGGGCAAGUUGAAUGAAGUUAUCACCUUUGGGUCAAGUUUCUGAACUGUCUGGUGAGAAUCCUGAGGCUCCUGUACCUUCUCCAUGAUGGCAGCAGCAAGAGAGUAUGACCUGGGGGGUGGGUGUCCCUGAUGAUUGAUAUACCAUCAAUAACUCUCGGAGAUGGGAGGCGAACGAUAGGCUUUUAUUAGCAGCAAACGAGACCACUACAUCUCGGAGACUGAGGGAAGAGCAGUGCCUCCAAUCGCCUUUAUACAGGGGUCUGUGGGAGGAGCCACAGGAGCAGUCAGCAGAGGAGUGUGUCCAGACAGGUAUAUGUAGUUUGCCACAUUCACCCCCCCCCCCUUUGCUUUAAGAGAGAGGCCCCAUGGGCAAAAUUUCUUACAAGUACAUUUACAGGUUAAGUCUAUCAGGCAGUCAAGUCUGUCGCUGUGAUCUACGUAGCACCGGUGACGGUGGUUGUGCUGGCUCCGGCCUGACUUGAGGUGCCAGCCCAUUAGGCGUCAGUAAUCCCUCAUGCGUGUGCAUGGCACCCAGUAUGGGAGUGUCAUGAGGAGUCUGUGUAGGGCUUGGUGUGCAUGGUGUCUCGUGGGUAUAUACAUCGGUGGGUACAGGGUUCAUAGUUGCCGUGGAGUAUUCGGGGUAGGGGUCUGGUGCUCCUGCGGGCACCAGGUCGCGGAUGGAGACCAUGUCCUCCUGCCCAUCAGGUAAGACCACGUAGGCAUACUGGCGGUUCGCAUGAAGUAGGUGGACCCUCUCAACCAUCGGGGAGUAUUUAUUGCUCCUCGCAUGUCUCCGGAGCAGCACUGGCCCUGGGGACAUCAGCCAAGCCGGUAGGGUAGUCCCAGUGGCAGACUUCCUGGGAAAAUAAGAGUCAGUCUCUCAUGAAGGUUGGAUUGCAUAACAGGGAGCGGAUGAAGUGGAGUGCCUCGGGGAGGACCUCCUGCCAGCGAGAGACCGGCAAUCCCUUUGACCUAAGGGCUAAGAGUGUGGCCUUCCACACCGUGGCAUUCUCCCUCUCCACCUGUCCAUUCCCCCAGGGAUUAUAGCUCGUUAUCCUACUAGUAGCAAUACCCCUAGCCGGCAGGUACUGGCGCAGCUUGUCACUCAUAAAGGAGGACCCUCUAUCACUGUGGAUAUAGCAGGGAUACCCGAACAGAGUGAAGAGCUGGCACAGGGUUUUUAUGACGGAGUGGCAGUGGUAUCAGGGCAGGGGAUGGCAAAGGGGAACCGCGAGUACUCAUAGAUUAUGUUGAGAAAGUAGACAUUGUGGUCAGUCCCUUAAAGUCUACACUCAGUCGCUCAAAGGGGCGUGUGGCCUUGAUAAGUUGUGCCUUUUCAGGAUGGUAGAAGUGCGGUUUGCACUCAGCGCAGACUUGAGUCCCUGGUCAUUGUCCUGAUGUCCUCAAGGGAGUAAAGCAGGUUCCGGGCUUUCACGAAAUGGUAAAGUCGGGUGACCCCCGGGUGGCAAAGAUCUGCAUGGAGGGCGUAUAGCCUGUCGAGCUGCACGCUGGCACACGCUCCCUGUGAUAGGGCAUCAGGGGGCUCAUUGAGCCUUCCAGGCCGCUACAGGAUGUCGUAGUUGUAGGUGGAGAGUUCUAUUCUCCACCUCAAAAUUUUAUCAUUUUUGAUUUUGCCCCGCUGAUGGUUGCUGAACAUGAACGCAACUGAGCGCUGGUCGAUCAGCAAGGUGAACCUUCUGCUGGCGAGAUAGUGCCUCCAGUGCCUAAUAGCUUCCACUAUGGCCUGUGCUUCUUUCUCCACCGCAGAGUGCCGAAUUUCAGGUCCUUGAAGGGUACGAGAGAAGAAUGUACCGGUCUUCCUGCCUGAUUGAGGGUAGCAGCCAGCGCGAAGUUGGAAGCGUCACUCUCUACUUGGAAGGGAAUGGUCUCGUCCACCACAUGCAUUGUUGCUUUGGCAAUGUCCCCUCGGCUGAGAGGGGAAAUGCGGUGGACUUGACCAGGCCUUGUCUGCGUAGUGAAGGACCCAUUGGGCGUAAUAGGAAAAGAAGCCCAGGCACCAAAUGAGGGCUUUGAGAGUGGUGGGAAGAGGGAGUUCUAACAGGGGAUGCAUACGGUCGGGAUCAGGGCCAAUGACCCCGUUCUCCACGACAUACCCAAGGAUAACAAGUCAGGUGGUUCCAAACACACACUUGUCCCUGUUAUAGGUGAGGUUAAGAACUUUGGCCGCUUGGAAAAAUUGUUGGAGAUUGGUGUCGUGAUCCUGCCAGUCGUGACCGCAGAUGGUGAUGUUAUCCAGAUAUGGGAACAUGGCCUUCAGUUGGCACUGGUCCACCAUCUGGUCCAUUUCCCUCUGGAAGACAGAGACACCAUUCGUGACACCGAAGGGGACGCGCAGAAAGUGAUAGAGCCUGCCACCCACCUCGAGGGCAGUGUAGGGGUGGAUAGGGAGCUGAUGGUAAAUGGAUUUUAGGUCUAUGGUCGAGUACACCUUGUACUGAGCUAUCUGAUUGACCAUAUCUGCGAUGCGGGGUAGGGGGUACACGUCAAGCUGUGUGAACCUAUUGAUAGUCUGGCUAUAGUCCACGACCAUCCUAUUUUUCUGCCUGGUCCGAACAACGACCACCUGGGACCUCCAAGGACGUGCUUGGCUCAAUGAUCCCCUCCCUGAGCAGCCGCUGCACCUCCGACUUAAUGAAGGCCCUGUCCCCCGCACUGUACCUCCUGCUUUUAGUUGCCACAGGUUUACAGUUGGGGGUCAGGUUGGCA